CAGCCGCCGCGGGAAAACGUAGGGUGCAAGCGUUAAUCGGAAUUACUGGGCGUAAAGCGUGCGCAGGCGGUUUUGUAAGACAGAGGUGAAAUCCCCGGGCUCAACCUGGGAACUGCCUUUGUGACUGCAAGGCUAGAGUACGGCAGAGGGGGAUGGAAUUCCGCGUGUAGCAGUGAAAUGCGUAGAUAUGCGGAGGAACACCGAUGGCGAAGGCAAUCCCCUGGGCCUGUACUGACGCUCAUGCACGAAAGCGUGGGGAGCAAACAGGAUUAGAUACCCGGGUAGUCCCUGUCUCUUAUAC
This 301-nucleotide ribosomal RNA is filed under the name uncultured bacterium. Its description in RNAcentral is "partial 16S ribosomal RNA". It matches the Rfam family "Bacterial small subunit ribosomal RNA", at positions 509 to 807 of the family's 1533-position model. The record is from RNAcentral.